GACGAACGCUGGCGGCGUGCCUAAUACAUGCAAGUAGAACGCUGAAGGAGGAGCUUGCUUCUCUGGAUGAGUUGCGAACGGGUGAGUAACGCGUAGGUAACCUGCCUGGUAGCGGGGGAUAACUAUUGGAAACGAUAGCUAAUACCGCAUAAUAGCAGUUAUUGCAUGAUAACUGUUUAAAAGGUGCAAUUGCAUCACUACCAGAUGGACCUGCGUUGUAUUAGCUAGUUGGUGGGGUAACGGCUCACCAAGGCGACGAUACAUAGCCGACCUGAGAGGGUGAUCGGCCACACUGGGACUGAGACACGGCCCAGACUCCUACGGGAGGCAGCAGUAGGGAAUCUUCGGCAAUGGACGGAAGUCUGACCGAGCAACGCCGCGUGAGUGAAGAAGGUUUUCGGAUCGUAAAGCUCUGUUGUAAGAGAAGAACGAGUGUGAGAGUGGAAAGUUCACACUGUGACG
RNAcentral lists this ribosomal RNA (462 nucleotides) under Streptococcus mitis. Its description in RNAcentral is "bacterial SSU rRNA". It matches the Rfam family "Bacterial small subunit ribosomal RNA", at positions 28 to 474 of the family's 1533-position model. Lineage: Bacteria; Bacillati; Bacillota; Bacilli; Lactobacillales; Streptococcaceae. The record is from RNAcentral.